GACGAACGCUGGCGGCGUGCUUAACACAUGCAAGUCGAACGGAAAGGCCCUGCUUUUGUGGGGUGCUCGAGUGGCGAACGGGUGAGUAACACGUGAGUAACCUGCCCUUGACUUUGGGAUAACUUCAGGAAACUGGGGCUAAUACCGGAUAGGAGCUCCUGCUGCAUGGUGGGGGUGGGAACGUUUCGGCGGUUGGGGAUGGACUCGCGGCUUAUCAGCUUGUUGGUGGGGUAGUGGAUUACCAAGGCUUUGACGGGUAGCCGGCCUGAGAGGGUGACCGGCCACCAUGGGACUGAGAUACGGCCCAGACUCCUACGGGAGGCAGCAGUGGCGAAUCUUGCACAAUGGGCGGAAGCCUGAUGCAGCAACGCCGCGUGCGGGAUGACGGCCUUCGGGUUGUAAACCGCUUCCGCCUGUGACGAAGCGUGAGUGACGGUAAUGGGUAAAGAAGCACCGGCUAACUACGUG
Molecule: ribosomal RNA, 468 nt
Filed under: uncultured bacterium
Lineage: Bacteria
Description: partial 16S ribosomal RNA
Rfam family: Bacterial small subunit ribosomal RNA
Source: RNAcentral